RNAcentral lists this ribosomal RNA (497 nucleotides) under uncultured bacterium. RNAcentral's name for it is "partial 16S ribosomal RNA". It matches the Rfam family "Bacterial small subunit ribosomal RNA", at positions 28 to 507 of the family's 1533-position model. The record is from RNAcentral.
GAUGAACGCUGGCGGCGUGCCUAAUACAUGCAAGUAGAGCGAACGGACGAGAAGCUUGCUUCUCUGAUGUUAGCGGCGGACGGGUGAGUAACACGUGGAUAGCCUACCUAUAAGACUGGGAUAACUUCGGGUAACCGUAGCUAAUACCGGAUAAUAUUUUGAACCGCAUGGUUCAAAAGUGAAAGACGGUCUUGCUGUCACUUAUAGAUGGAUCCGCGCUGCAUUAGCUAGUUGGUAAGGUAACGGCUUACCAAGGCAACGAUGCAUAGCCGACCUGAGAGGGUGAUCGGCCACACUGGAACUGAGACACGGUCCAGACUCCUACGGGAGGCAGCAGUAGGGAAUCUUCCGCAAUGGGCGAAAGCCUGACGGAGCAACGCCGCGUGAGUGAUGAAGGUCUUCGGAUCGUAAAACUCUGUUAUUAGAGAAGAACAUAUGUGUAAGUAACUGUGCACAUCUUGACGGUACCUAAUCAGAAAGCCACGGCUAACUACGUG